GGAUUAGAUACCCUGGUAGUCCACGCCGUAAACGAUGUGCACUAGAUCGAGGGGGCUCUGACGUCGCUCUCGGUCGAAGCGAAAGUGUUAAGUGCACCGCCUGGGGAGUACGGUCGCAAGGCUAAAACUCAAAGGAAUUGACGGGGGCUCACACAAGCGGUGGAGCAUGUGGCUUAAUUCGAAGCAACGCGAAGAACCUUAUCCUGGGUUUGACAUGUAUGGAUUAGCUCUGUGAAAGCAGAGUGAAGCGGCUUGCCGUGGAACAUACACAGGUGCUGCAUGGCUGUCGUCAGCUCGUGUUG
RNAcentral lists this ribosomal RNA (302 nucleotides) under uncultured bacterium. RNAcentral's name for it is "bacterial SSU rRNA". It matches the Rfam family "Bacterial small subunit ribosomal RNA", at positions 775 to 1067 of the family's 1533-position model. The record is from RNAcentral.